GGCAGAUGAUGUCCUUAUCUCACGAUGGUCUACAGAUGUCCCUGUGGGAAUGUCAACAGCAAAAAGAAAAUUAAUAAGAACCCUACACUUAACUUCAUCCCCUCACUUUUUGCCAUUUU
This 119-nucleotide small nucleolar RNA is filed under the name Cebus imitator (Panamanian white-faced capuchin). RNAcentral's name for it is "Small nucleolar RNA SNORD35 (ENSCCAG00000014528.1)". The stretch from base 1 to 59 matches the Rfam family "Small nucleolar RNA SNORD35". The record is from RNAcentral. Lineage: Eukaryota; Metazoa; Chordata; Mammalia; Primates; Cebidae.